RNAcentral lists this long non-coding RNA (26878 nucleotides) under Triticum aestivum (bread wheat). Its description in RNAcentral is "long non-coding RNA (TAES_LNC009215)". The record is from RNAcentral. Lineage: Eukaryota; Viridiplantae; Streptophyta; Magnoliopsida; Poales; Poaceae.
UUUAUUAUUGGUGUUGUCCUAUGGUGCUCUCCGUGUCGCGCAAGCGUGAGGGAUUCCCGCUGUAGGGUUUGCAAUAUGUUCAUGAUUUGCUUAUGGUGGGUGGCGUGAGUGACAGAAGCACAGACCCGAGUAAGUAGGUUGUUUGCGUAUGGGAUAAAGGGGACUUGAUGCUUUAAUGCUAUGGUUGGGUUUUACCUUAAUGAUCUUUAGUAAUUGCGGAUGCUUGCUAGAGUUCCAAUCAUAAGUGCAUAUGAUCCAAGUAGAGAAAGUAUGUUAGCUUAUGCCUCUCCCUCAAAUAAAAUUGCAAUAAUGAUUACCGGUCUAGUUAUCGAUUGCCUAGGGACAAAUAACUUUCUCGUGACAACAAGCUCUUUACUAAAACUAAUUUAGUUGUGUCUUUAUAUAAACAGCCCCUACUUUUUAUUUACGUGCUCUUUAUAUUCUUUCAAAACUAUCUAAAAACACCUACAAAGUACUUCUAGUUUCAUACUUGUUCUAGGUAAAGCGAACAUUAAGUGUGCGUAGAGUUGUAUCGGUGGUCGAUAGAACUUGAGGGAAUAUUUGUUCUACCUUUAGCUCCUCGUUGGGUUCGACACUCUUACUUAUCGAAAGAGGCUACAAUUGAUCCCCUAUACUUGUGGGUUAUCAAGACCUUUUUCUGGCGCCGUUGCCGGGGAGCAAUAGAAUGGGGUGAAUAUUCUCGUGUGUGCUUGUUUGCUUUAUCACUAAGUAAUUUUUAUUUGCUGUUCUUAGUUGUUUUCUAUCUUUAGUUAUGGGUUGGAAACGUAAAAUACCAAAAAAAUUAGUUGUACCUACUGAACCAAUGAUUGAAGAACCACUCAAAAUCUAUCACACUCCUGAAGCUUAUUACUUGGAUCAUCUUCGAUCCCUAUGUGCUCGUGCUAAAACCCCAACUAGCUUACUUGAGGGCAAAUCUUUAGAUGAGCAUGCUUGUUAUGUGCGACACUGUAUAUCUAAAAAGGGAAACUUUUACUGGGUCAAAUUCAUCGUUUGCAAUGCUAUGCUUGGAAUUUAUGUGAAAUAUUUGAUUUUCUUGUUGUUCUGAAAACCCUAAGAAACACCUUCCCUACCAAUGUGAGUUUAUUGAUAAUGGAAUCGUAUCUUCGUAUGCUAAGGGUGUUUAUAAUUACUAUGAUUUUCAGCAAAUUGAAGAAUUUGUUGCUUUUAAGGGUGCUUACGAAAUUGCUUCUUUGAUUGAAACGUAUGAUGCUAUUCUUUACAAAUCUGAAAUUUUUGCCAUACUUAAAUAUUGCUAUGAUAAUUAUGCUUCUAAUGCCUAUGUUGAACCAUAUAUUGAGGACUACUCCGCUGUCCAAGAAGAGACUACUAUUUUGCUGUCGGAGUAAGUGGCCACGGGUAGCCUAACCGACUACCCCUGGCUCUUCAGAAAAUUUAUCAGGCCUUUGGGCCUUCAAGCACUCCAAGCAUUUGGGCCGCCUUCCCUGGCCGGCUACCACUAAAGCCGACUCCCGGAAGGCGACCCAGCCUCACCGACUCCAGGAAGCCGGCCAAGAAGGACGCCGGCUCCUAGAAGCCGGCCAAGACCACAACCACUCCUACAUAACGACGACCUGACGGGGCAUGGCCACAGUGCGGCCCAUGACCCCCGAAGCCCGAGGCGAGCAUGGCUACAGGGGGCCGUACGGGAGGGAUGUCUCCCGCGCGGCCCGGCACUGUAGCCACGCUAGCCACGACGUCAUCCACGACCCCCUCCUGUACGGCCCAGGACUGCGGGCCCCUUCAGCCAGAGAGAGGCGUGGAGGCGGCCCGGCUUUCCCUAGCCGGCCAGGAGCAUAGCCGGCCUCCAGAAGCCGGCGGCUCCCUUCCUCGGAGCAGGAGCCCCAUUAAGGAGACAAGACGAGGUGAGGCUACAGUGAUAGCCCCCGAGGCGGCCCACUGUAGCCACGCUCACCUCGACAAAGCCCUCAUCAUCAGAGGCACGGCUACAGUAAGCAGCCGCCGACAAAGCCCUAGACGGUGGGGCCGGCCUGUCGACCAAGUAGCCGGCAGCCGGCGGGACCCACCAGCCGGCGGGACCCAGUAGCCGGCGGAGAAGCCGGCGAGCAUAGACACUGACGACUGGGACCAGAUCCCAGUCGGAUUACCAUUGUACCCCCGGGGGGUAGGCCUAUAUAAACCCCCCGGAGCACCCAUGCAAAGGGUUGGCUUCUGGUUCGCACCUCUGCAUGUUUGGCUUCCAAGCAUAGCACACACACACACACCAUAGAUAGAGAGAAGCAAGAGCUAGCCUUUUUCUUCUUCUCCCUUGAUCCCAACAGCUCUAGGAGCGAUUGUAGCUACUCUUUAUCGAUCUAGUGAUCAUGCAGAGACCCCGCAGAGCAGGACUAGGGGUGUUAUCUCCUCGGAGAGCCCCGAACCUGGGUAAGAUUCGCCGGCGUGCAUGUCUUCGCCUCAUCCCGUUUCCAGGCACCGGCGACGUUCUAUUGGCUCCCACAAUGAUAAGCCAUCCCUUGGCAUAUGUCGCACCAACCACCCGACAUUUGGCGCCCACCGUGGGGCCAGGUGCACCGUUGUCCGGAGACCUGUUCUGGACGGGAACCCUCUUCCUUCCCCGCGAGCGCAGCUAGCCUGUUGCGCCCGAUGGCGUUUGCCCCGACGCGCUGCAAGGCGUCGACGACGCCUGUGCAGCGAGCCGCCUCGCCGAUCUGCUCGGAGAGACUCGCCUCUCCGACGAGCCUGCAUCCGACGCAGGCACCGAUUACCCCGAAAGCCGCCUCGUCAGCCUCCUCGACCAACUUCACGUCACCAGCGAGCCCGCUGCGGACAUGGAGUCUGUCGGCUCCACCGACCCGAUGCUCAUCGACUCCGACACCGCGUCGCUCGACGCCUACCCCUCCGACGUGGUGGUCUUCGACGACCCGCUCCCUCGAGCUGACAGCGGCAGCAGCGCUGUCACCGAAGUGCUGGUCAUCAGCCACGUCUCCAACUCGGGCGGGAGCGCCCGCGACGUUCAGCAAGCGGCGAUGCAUGACCUCUCCAUCCCCCUCCCGGCCGACGCCGACGCCGAGACCCUGGAGGCACGCCGUCUUGCCCUCAUCGCGGAGAGCAAGAAGAUAGCCUCGCUGAGGCCCACCAGCACGAAGUCGACCGCGCCGCCUUCGGGACGCCGCCGCCCAGCGGUCCGAGCCGAGCCGGCUUCGUCCAGAAGCGCGGCGCAGCCGUUGCCAGCAUGCUGGGCGCGGAUCGCCCCAUCUACGCCACCCCGCUCGAGAAUCUGCGAGCCGCUCAGGCGGCAGCAGAGGAGCUCAAUGGGCUGGGAGCCGAUGAGCUCUCCUACAUGACAAGACGGAUCCAGCAGCUGAUCGACGCGGCUGCAGAACGGCACGAAGCCGGCGCCCGAGCUGAUAGCCAUCCCCGCGCUGGGAACACGCUGCGACGUCCCGCUCGCCGACUGCGAGCGGCACGCGCCAGAAGAAAGACAAGGAGCCGGCUGCCAGCCGCAGCCGGACUCGCAUCACUAUCGAGCGCGACGCGGAUGGCCGCCCUCGGGCGGUCGAACACCAAGGAAACCUGCCGCCUCCCCCGCCUCGAAGAGAAAGACGCCUCACUCCGCCGCCCAUCACGCAUCCGACUCUUGGCGACCGACUCGGCCGCCGAGAAGGAGUCGGCGAGAGUGACGCCCGCCACAGGAUCGACCGCCUUGCUCGGUCCUUGGCGUUAGAAGAAGAAGACGAUGUCGGCCCGCAAUGCUUUGGCACCCGCAUCCGCGGCGAGCCCUUCCCCAAAGGGUUCUCGCUCCCCAGAGACACACCCAAGUACAACGGCUCGGUGAAGCCAGAAGAUUGGCUCAUCGACUACUCCACAGCCGUCAGCAUCGCCAACGGCAAUCGGCGCGUCGCCGUGAAGUACGUCCCCUUGAUGCUGCAGGGGACGGCACGCACGUGGCUCAACAGCCUCAAGCCAUACAGCAUCAACAGCUGGCUGGACUUCACCGAGGUUUUCGUCCGCAACUUCACCAGCACCUACAAGCGGCCUCCCAAGCCUCGCCAGCUCUCCCUCUGCGUCCAAGGGCCCAACGAGUCGACCCGCGACUACCUCACGCGAUGGGCCGAGCUCCGCAACUCCUGCGAGGGAGUGCACGAGGUCCAGGCCAUCGAGUACUUCACUGCCGGGUGCCGAGAGGGCACCCUCCUCAAGCACCGACUCCUCUGCGACGAGCCGGCUACCCUCGAUGAGUUGCUGAUCACCGCCGACAAGUAUGCCACUGCCGACUCCUCCAUGAAGACCGAGCUCCGAGUGGACGCCUCAGGGAAGGUAGUCGCUCCGGCUCCCAAGACGCCGGCUGGCGACCCAAACCUGCGCCCCUACCAGAAUGACCACAAGCGCAAGGGCCCCAUGCGGACUUCCUCCAGUCGGCAGGUGGCCACAGUUGAAGACGAGCAGCCCGAGGAGCGGCCCGCUCCCAAGAAGAAGGGAGGCCGGCCGCCCUGGCAGCCGUCCUUCUCCUACGAGCAAGCACUCGAUGCUCCCUGCAAGUUCCACAGCGGCGCGAAGCCGUCCAACCAUACAACACGUAAAUGCCACUGGCUCACCCGCAUCACCAAGGGCGAAGGGAUGGUGCCGCCUCCGCCUCCCGGCCCGCCGCCUCCAGCUCCCCAGCAGCCGGCGGCCCGGCCGGCAGUCGGCGCCAUCCAAGACGAGUUCCCCGAAGCGCACGACGCCUACGUCGUCUUCACGAGUCAGGUCGACGACAAGCGCGGCCGACGCCGGCAACACCAAGAAGUAAACGCAGUCGCCUCUAGCACCGCCGAGUUCAUGCACUGGUCGGAAAAGCCCAUCAGCUAGAGCCAGGCCGACCACCCAGAGGUGAUGCCUUCGCCUGGCUCCUAUGCUAUGGUCUUGGACGUCACCCUUGCGAUGGAGAGGCGAGCUGCCAGAUUUUCCCGCGUCCUAAUAGACGGCGGAAGCAGUAUCAACAUACUAUACCGCGACACCAUGGACAAGCUGAACAUCAAAGCAAAGCAGCUCAUGCCGAGCCGCACUGUCUUCCAUGGUAUCGUACCCGGCCUAUCUUGCUCUCCAAUCGGCAAGAUCAAAAUGGAUGUUCUCUUCGAAGACAAAGAUCACUUCCGCCGGGAAGCAAUAUGGUUCGAGGUGGUGGAUCUGGAGAGCCCCUAUCAUGCACUACUUGGCCGACCUGCUUUGGCCAAGUUCAUGGCUGUGCCCCACUAUGCCUACCUGAAGAUGAAGAUGCCGAGCUCAAAGGGGAUCAUCACGGUAGCCGGCGACUACAAGAAGUCCAUCGAGUGUGCCAUGGCCAGUAGCCGGCUGGCCGAGUCCCUCGUGGUGGCAGAAGAGAAGAGGAUGUUGGAACGGGUUGUGGCCAUGGCCGGCAAGCAGCCGGCCUUGUCCCCCAACCCCAAAGACUGUGAUGCGCAGGGCUCCUUCCAGCCUGCGAAAGAGACCAAGAAGAUGCCUCUAGACCCGGAACACCCGGAGAGGUUCGCCGUGAUUGGGGCGAACUUGGACAGUAAAUAGGAAGGCGAGCUCGCCGACUUCCUCCGUGAGAAUCGAGACAUCUUCGCAUGGUCCCCAAAGGACAUGCCAGGUGUCCCGAAGGAUUUUGCCGAGCACAAGUUACAUGUCCGAGCUGAUGCGAAGCCGGUCAGGCAACCCCUCCGCCGACUAUCAGAAGAGAAGCGAAGAAUCAUGGGAGAAGAGAUAGCCCGGCUCCUUGCAGCCGGCUUCAUCAUGGAAGUGUUCUUUCCAGAAUGGCUUGCCAAUCCAGUUCUGGUUUUGAAGAAGAAUAACAAGUGGCGCAUGUGUAUAGACUACACAAGUUUGAACAAGGCCUGCCCAAAGGAUCCGUUUGCUUUGCCACGGAUUGACCAAGUGAUAGACUCCACAGCCGGAUGCGAGCUGUUGUGUUUUUUGGAUGCAUACUCAGGGUAUCAUCAGAUCAAGUUGGACCCGGCUGACCGCCUGAAGACUGCCUUCAUCACACCCUUUGGAGCUUUCUGCUACCUGACAAUGACAUUCGGCUUGAGAAACGCCGGUGCCACUUUUCAGCGUUGCAUGCAGAAAUGUCUCUUGAAACAACUCGGCAGAAAUGCCCACGUCUACGUAGACGACAUUGUGGUGAAGACAGAGAAGCGCGGUACCUUGCUGGAAGACCUGAAGGAAACAUUUGCCAACUUGCGCCGAUUCCAGAUCAAGCUCAACCCCAAGAAGUGCGUGUUCGGAGUGCCAGCCGGCCAGCUGCUAGGCUUCCUGGUCUCCGAACGCGGCAUUGAGUGCAACCCUGUCAAGAUCAAGGCCAUCGAGAGGAUGGAGAUACCCACCAAGCUGCGAGAUGUGCAGAAGUUCACUGGCUGCUUAGCCUCCCUGAACCGAUUUAUCAGCCGACUAGGAGAGAAGGCUCUCCCCCUGUACCGACUCAUGAAGAAGUCCACUCACUUUGAGUGGAACGAUCAAGCCGACCAAGCCUUCCAUGAGUUGAAGAAAAUGUUGACCACUCCGCCUGUCCUGGCCGCGCCGACUGAGAAGGAGCCCAUGCUCCUCUACAUCGCCGCGACAAGCCGAGUCGUCAGCACUGUUGUUCUGGUCCAGCGCCCGGAGGAAGGCCGAGCCCAGCUGGUCCAGAGGCCGGUCUACUAUCUCAGCAAAGUACUGUCCAGCUCAAAGCAAAACUACCCGCACUAUCAGAAGAUGUGCUAUGGGGUGUACUUCGCCGCCAAGAAAUUGAAGCCCUACUUCCAAGAGCACCCCAUCACGGUCGUGUGCACUGCCCCGCUCGCCGAGAUCAUAGGCAGCCGGGAUGCAUCCGGCCGGGUGGCCAAAUGGGCCAUUGCCUUGGCGCCCUACACGAUCUUCUAUCAACCCCGCACCGCCAUCAAGUCGCAAGCAUUGGCCGACUUCCUCGUCGACUGGGCCGAGACCCAGUACCUACCGCCGGCUCCCGACUCCACCCAUUGGCGGAUGCACUUCGACGGGUCCAAAAUGCGCAUCGGCUUGGGAGCCGGCAUCGUCCUCACCUCUCCCAAAGGCGACAAGCUCAAGUACACGCUGCAGAUCCACUUCGCCGCCUCCAACAACGUGGCCGAGUACGAGGCGCUCGUACACGGGCUCCGGCUAGCCAAAGAGCUCGGCAUACGCCGGAUCCUGUGCUACGGCGACUCAGAUUUGGUGGUCCAGCAAUCAUCUGGCGACUGGGACGCCAAGGACGCAAACAUGGCAAGCUACCGAUUCCUCGUCCAGCAGAUGAGCGGAUACUUCGAAGGGUGCGAGUUCCUUCACGUGCCAAGGGCCGACAACGACCAAGCAGAUGCCCUAGCACGGAUCGGCUCCACCCGACAAGCCAUACCGACGGGCGUCUCCCUCCAGCGCCUCCUCAAGCCGUCCAUCAAGCCGUCUCCAGAGUCGGAUUCCAUCUUCGUACCGCCUGCGCCAGAAACAGCCGGAUCCGGCUCAAGAAACCCCGCAGGCGGCGCGGGGACUUCGACGACUGCCCCGGGGACUGACGUAGUCGAACCCGGCCCAGGGACUUCAGAACCCGGCCCGGGGACUGCAGCAGUCGGCCCGGGGACUGCAACAACACGAGAAGCGGUGGACGACUCCAAUGCAACACCCAACCCACCCACCCGAGUCAUGGUGGCCACGUUAACAGCAGAAGAAGUCACAGCUCCCUCAUGGGCCCAGCCCAUCCUCAAGUUCCUGGUCAGCAGAGAGCUGCCGGCUGAUGAGAUCGCAGCAAGACUAGUGCAACGACGAGCCGCAGCAUACACAAUAAUCAACAAGGAGCUUGUGAAGCGCAGCGUCACUGGAGUCUUGCAGCGUUGCGUCGAGCCAGAAAAAGGAGUGACAAUCCUCAAAGACAUCCACCAAGGCGAAUGCGGCCAUCACGCCGCCUCAAGAUCCCUCGUGGCCAAGGCUUUCCGCCAUGGGUUCUUCUGGCCGACUGCCUUGGAGGAUGCUAAAGAAAUAGUCAAGACCUGCAGAGGAUGUCAAGUCUUCAGUUCCAAACAACACCUGCCGGCUUCUGCCCUCAAGACCAUUCCCCUCACCUGGCCUUUUGCCGUCUGGGGACUGGACAUGGUGGGCCCUUUCAAGACGGCCCGCGGCGGCUUGACACAUCUACUCGUUGCUGUGGACAAGUUCACAAAAUGGAUCGAAGCAAAGCCGAUCAAGAAGCUGAACGGGCCGACUGCCGUGACAUUCAUCACCGACAUCACUACUCGGUACGGCGUGCCGCACAGCAUCAUCACCGACAACGGCACGAACUUCGCCAAAGGCGCACUGGCACGUUUCUGCGCGACACAGGGCAUCCGACUGGACUUAGCGUCCGUUGCCCACCCGCAGUCAAACGGCCAAGUCGAGCGAGCAAAUGGACUUAUCCUCUCCGGCAUCAAGCCCCGAUUGGUUGUACCACUGGAGCGAUCGGCCGGCUGCUGGCUCGAAGAGCUGCCGGCUGUCCUCUGGAGUCUGCGAACUACACCCAACAAGUCAACCGGCUUCACUCCAUUCUUCCUUGUGUACGGUGCCGAGGCUGUCAUCCCAACAGACAUCGAGUUCGACUCGCCUCGGAUCACCAUGUACACGGAGGAGGAAGCCAAAGAAGCAAGAGAAGACGGCGUCGACCUACUGGAAGAAGGCCGGCUGUUAGCCCUCAGCCGGUCCGCCGUCUACCAGCAAGGCCUGCGCCGCUACUACAACCGCAAGGUCAAGCCAAGAUCCUUCCAAGAGGGCGACCUUGUGCUCCGGCUGAUCCAGGGAACAGCCGGCCAGCACAAGCUCUCGGCCCCUUGGGAAGGCCCCUUCGUCGUCAGCAAGGCACUCGGCAACGACUCCUACUACUUGAUCGACGCGCAAAAGCCAAGAGCACGCAAGAGAGACGACUCCGGCAAGGAGUCGGAGCGACCAUGGAACGCAAGCCUCCUAAGACGAUUUUACAGCUAAAAAGCAGUAUGUAUCACGCUACCCCUUUUGUAUUAAAUUACAAACCAACAGGCCCCCCGAACAGUACUCGGGGACUGCCUUUUAUUUAUCUAUGAAUGACGAGUGUCAUUUCCAUGAAUGUAUUGUUACAUUUUGAACUCUUGUCCGGCACCGGGUCCGACUAGUCGGCCCGGGAACUGGCCGCCUUGAGCUAUAUUCUAAGUUGUUCCCGAAGUCAGCAAAGUAGUGUGCCGGCUCCCAAGUCCUCCCUUGUUGAAAGUCGCAGCUCAAAGAACUGACUGUCCGACUAGCAAGAGUAAAGACAGAAAAGACGCCCACACGAAAAACAGCUAAGGAACAACUAACCCAUAUAGCAAAUAGACGGCCUCCAUAUACGCCUGCCGGCUGUCACGGCAGCCGGCCGGCCGGCUUCCUAAAAAACUUAGCUUAAGUCCAGCAGAGCUCAAAGUACUUCCCCCUCCCCAAUCGGCCAGGCACUCCCCGGCUACAGUUUGUAGAACAACUGUUUGACUAGGGAGGCGGCAACCAAGGGAGGGCGGCAAAGGAAAAAAGCAGAAGGACAAAAAGCAAAAGUACAAGAAAAAGCCGAUUGCAUAACUUAUAUACAUAAAGCCGCCUAAAGGCUGGCAACAGACUUGAGUUUCAAUACACCCAGUGGGUGGAAUUGCGCAGACUUAACCAAACAUUGUUCCAAAGCAACAAGACAGGAAAACAAAAGAAAGAAGACUAAGGCAUGACUUGGAGGCCGAGCUGGUCGGUGAAGGCAGCUCGCCGGCUGAGGGGGUGGCCGCCUAGCUGGUCCCGGCUUGACCGCCUCCCGCGACAAGAGACGCACUCGCACGCGACGUAGUGCUGGAGGCGCGGUCAGGCUGGCCGGCUACUCCACCAGCCGGCUCGGCGUCUUCACCUUCCUCCUCCUCCUCUUCGCCCUCGUCGCUGGAGUCGAUCUCCUCCGCCGAGUCCUCGCCGUACGCCGGGUCCAGCCCGAACCAAUCUUCCGGCUGGGCGACUCCAUUGUCGUCCACCUCGGGGGCGAAGACGUUGGUGUCGGUGUACUCGGCGAUCGCCGAAGCCCGCCGAAUGAUGGCCGGCCGCGCCGGCUCCAGCUCCGCGUCGGCUUGCUGCCGCCAGGUAGCCAGCUGGUCCAGAUUCAUGCCUGGGUACCAGGCCUUGACGAACUCCAGUGCCCGCCCGGCUCCGGAGCGAGCCGCUGACGCCUUCCAAGCCUCGAAGCGGCCGACGGCCACCUCCAGCCAGUCAGCGGUCCGACUAGGAGUGCGCGGGAUCACUUGGCCGGGCCAGAGGGCGGCCAAGACCUGCGACCCGGCACGCUGAAGCCGGCUGGAUACGAGCCUGGAUCGCCAGGAGCUGCUCCUCCAGCGAGCGGCCGACGGUCGGCGAGAUCUCGAAGCCGGCUUGCCUCUUCGCCUGGCGACGAGCUUCGAUGGCCUGGUUGGCAGCAGUUGAGUAGCCAGGGAAGUACUCUGCGCGAAGAAGAAAAGAAAGAAGAACCCCAAAUCAGAAAAACAAGUCGAAGUAGCAGAUGGCAAGAGAGGAUGAAGGGGUAGACGACUUACCGUCAACCAGGUCCUCAAUCUGGCCAUAGCCGGAGACCAGGGUCUGCCUGGCCUCGUCCCAGCCGGCCGCCUCCGUCUCGAACUCGGCCUGGAGGGUGGCCUCGCGAUCCUGCGCAGCCUUCAGCGCAGCCUUGUGGCUUUCCUCCUGGUCGGCCAGCUUCUUGACCAGGCGGUCGCGCUCCUGCACCAAGGCGGCGAGCUCCGCGUCCUUGGCACGAAGAGCAGUCUGGGACUCCCCCAGCUGUGCCCUCAGACUGGCGUUGGCCGCUGCAGAGAUAGAAGAACAAGAAGAGCAAUGAGAAGUUAUCAAGGAAGAUCCGAGCCGACUGCUCAGCAGUCGGCCCGAAUCUCGGGGACUACACCCAGUGGGUGCGCUGACGCGCCCCCACAUGAGAUAAAGAGCAAGUCACAUACCUCGGCUUUCAGUGAGAUCGGCGGUCUUUUGCGUCAGCUCCCGAGCCUGGGAGUUGAAGGCGGCCGCUCGUAGGUUGUGAUAGUCCUGCAAGAUGGACAGAAGACCGACGUGAGAACAAAGCGGCAAAAACAAAAUCAUCAAGGAAGAUCCGAGCCGACUGCUCAGCAGUCGGCCCGAAUCUCGGGGACUACACCCAGUGGGUGCGCUGACGCGCCCCCACGAGAAAAAUCAAGAACAAGAUUAGAAUACUAACCCGGAUGGCUGCCCGCGUGGCGAGGAACUCGUCGGUGAACUGUCUCAGCACCGCGGCCUGGCCCUGGAGCCGGGUCCGGACGUCUUGUGCAGCGAUGUUCACCACGGCUGUCCCUCCGCCUCGCGUCCACCCGGAGGUAGCGCUGGCCGCCUCCGCGUCUCGGGCCGACGAGCUGGAGCCCACGGCCAGCCGUGGCUCCGACGCCGCCUUCUGCGGCUCCGACGCGGCCUUCCCUGCGCGCCGGCUUGGCGGAACCCGGACCGCCACCUCAGCUCCCGCGGCCGGCUCGCCUUCCGCCGACUGUGCGGGCGCAGGCUCAGUCUGGCCGCCUUGGGCCGCCCCAGUCGGAGGAGUCGGCCCCGGCGCCUCCCUCAAGAAGAUGACGUCAUCACCGCUCCCUCCCAGAUCCGGCUGGGAACCGCUGGCUCCCCCUGGCGAGGGAUCCGCGCCCCCGGGCGCCAUGGCGUGCAGGGGGGUGACCAUCAAGGCCUCCCCUGCCGCCGCUUCGGCCUCGGCCUCUGCCUGGGCCUUGGCUGCAGCCUCGGCAAGCGCCUUCGCCGCCUCCUCCUCCCGAGCUGCCUGGGCGGCGGCUGCCCUCCGUGCCUCCGCCUCCCGCGCUUCCUGCUCCUCCCGCACCUCCCGCGCGUUCCUUUCCGUCGCCUCCAGGAGGGCGGCGCGGGGAUCUACGCGGCGGGUGGUGCUCCCAGAGCCCCCUGGCGACUCGACAACGGAGCCGGCAGCCGCCCGCUCGAGUGACAGUGGAGCUCUGAUCAAAGAAAAGAAGACAAAGGUUCAGAAAACCCCCAAGAAAAGAAAGAAGGAGAACACACAGAAAGAGAGAAAGCUUACGCUGACACGGCCUGCGGCUGCUUCACCACUUUGCGAAAACGAGCUGCCUUCGCGGCCGCCUCUUCCCGCCUGGUGGCCGCUGCCCCACCCCUGGGCUUCUUCGUCCGGCUACCGAACAUGCCCUGGGUGGCGCGACGUUUCUGGCCUCUACCCCGAGCAGGCUGCGCGCCGGAGGAGCCCGCGCCGCGUCCGGACGCCGGCUGGCGAUGCGGGACGGCUUCGGCUUCGUCCUCGUCCGGCCAGUCCUCAAAGGUAGCGGAGAGCCCGGCGCCGCCGGCUUCACCGCCAGCCGGCUCGGUGGCGUCCUCCAUAUGGACUGCCCCCAGGUCGGGGUCCUCCUGGUCGUGCUCGGUCCGGUCGGGGACGAAACGGCGCUCCGCGUCCGCCCCGCCGGCCGGUCGAAGCAGAGGACUCUGUCGAAAAGAGCGAGCCGACGGAGUUAGAGUCGGCCCGAAGGAACUCGGCGACAAAGCUGAGAGAGAAAAAGAGAAAAAGAGAAAGGGAGCGUACCGUAGGCGGAGGAUUAGCGCGGCUGUAUGGUCCCUUGCCGAAUUGCCAGUCGUCGGGAAGCUGGCAGUUGGCGAGGUAGUUCACCAUGUCGGCCGCGUCGGCCUGCGGCAUCUCCUUGGUGCACAUCCGGCUCGGAUCGAGCUGGCCGCUCAUCUGACAGAUCAGAUGAGGCCGGCUCUGGAGCGGGAGGACCCGGCGCAUGACGAACGCGGCCAGAAGGUCGGGCCCCGUCAGGCCCUCCGACUGGACCAUCACCCGCAGGCAGGCGAUGGCGGCGUUUCCUCCCGGAGACAGCGUUACCGCCCGAAAGGACCACUGGGGCAGCCUCCCCGCCGGCGGGCCGGCUACGUAAGCCGGCAGGUUGAGGUUGUCGCCUCGGGGAGCAAUGUUCCGCACGUAGAAGUAUGACUUCUGCCACUUCUUCACCGAUUGGAUCAGCGUGAUGACGGGGAAGGGGUUGUCGGCGCCUGAUCUCCGCGACGCGAUGAAGGCGCCGGUCUGAGCCGACACGCCCCUCACACGCGUGCCCAGCUUCGACUGGAAGAACUCCCCCCAGAGCUCGAGGGUGGGGAGGACGCCGAGAUAGCCCUCGCACAGGGUGACGAAGGCCGACAGCAGCACCACCGCGUUGGGGGUGAGGUGAUGUGGCUGGAGUUGAUAGAAGUCCAGCCAGGAGCGGAAGAAAGCGCUCACUGGCAGACCGAAGCCGCGCAGGAAGUGCGAGCGGAAGACCACCCGCUCGCCCUCCUGCGGCGCCGGCCUGACCUCCUUCUCCGGCGCGAGGCGGACCUCCACUUUGUCCUUGCUGGGCAGACGCCGGGUGUCGCGGAGGAAGUCGAUGUGGUCUUGGUGAACGAUGGAGCCAUCCCAAUCCCUGCCAAGCUGCUCAACGUGGGGAGGCAUAGCGGAAGCUGGCACGGCGGCAGAGAAGCGUGCGGAGGAAGAGCGCGGCGGCGAGGCGCUGGCGCAAGAACAAGCAAGGCGAGAAGACGAAGGGAGUAGGAGGAGCGUGCGAGGGUCUGCCGCCCCCCACCUCCCCCUACUUAUAGCCUCACGCGGCCGAAGAGGCCGGACGUGGGGGGGAAGACGUGGGAUUAACCGCGCCCACUCCCCCCACGACUCGCGUUUAUUACGCAUAAGUGCGAGCCGAAACUGCCGCACGGAUCGUGCGGGCGGUUUCGGGAUACAAAGGAUCCGCGCCUGGGCCGGGGCGCGGACGUGGCGGGCCCCCUCUCUGCGGCAACGUCCCGUCUCGCGCAUGGGCUGGCAGGCUUUCCGGCUAUGUGGCGCGCCGUCAGCCCGCGGCCCGGCGCACGUGCCAGCGGGUUCCCGCCCUUCGACUCCAGAAGAUUUUGGCUCAGGCGGCGUGCCUGACCAAGGCCGGCACCCAGCUGCCGGCUUGUCACGAUAGGAAGCUGUUCGAGCUUCUCGAACCCUAUUCCACCUCGAAGCCCGAUCAGUUUCGGGGACUACUGUCGGAGUAAGUGGCCACGGGUAGCCUAACCGACUACCCCUGGCUCUUCAGAAAAUUUAUCAGGCCUUUGGGCCUUCAAGCACUCCAAUCAUUUGGGUCGCCUUCCCUGGCCGGCUACCACUAAAGCCGACUCCCGGAAGGCGACCCAGCCUCACCGACUCCAGGAAGCCGGCCAAGAAGGACGCCGGCUCCUAGAAGCCGGCCAAGACCACAACCACUCCUACAUAACGACGACCUGACGGGGCAUGGCCACAGUGCGGCCCAUGACCCCCGAAGCCCGAGGCGAGCAUGGCUACAGGGGGCCGUACGGGAGGGAUGUCUCCCGCGCGGCCCGGCACUAUAGCCACGCUAGCCACGACGUCAUCCACGACCCCCUCCUGUAUGACCCAAGGACUGCGGGCCCCUUCAGCCAGAGAGAGGCGUGGAGGCGGCCCGGCUUUCCCUAGCCGGCCAGGAGCAUAGCCGGCCUCCAGAAGCCGGCGGCUCCCUUCCUCGGAGCAGGAGCCCCAUUAAGGAGACAAGAUGAGGUGAGGCUACAGCGAUAGCCCCCGAGGCGGCCCACUGUAGCCACGCUCACCUCGACAAAGCCCUCAUCAUCAGAGGCACGGCUACAGUAAGCAGCCGCCGACAAAGCCCUAGGCGGUGGCGCCGGCCUGUCGACCAAGUAGCCGGCAGCCGGCGGGACCCACCAGCCGGCGGGACCCAGUAGCCGGCGGAGAAGCCGGCGAGCAUAGACACUGACGACUGGGACCAGAUCCCAGUCGGAUUACCAUUGUACCCCCGGGGGUAGGCCUAUAUAAACCCCCCGGAGCACCCAUGCAAAGGGUUGGCUUCUGGUUCGCACCUCUGCAUGUUUGGCUUCCAAGCAUAGCACACACACACACCAUAGAUAGAGAGAAGCAAGAGCUAGCCUUGUUCUUCUUCUCCCUUGAUCCCAACAGCUCUAGGAGCGAUUGUAGCUACUCUUUAUCGAUCUAGUGAUCAUGCGGAGACCCCGCAGAGCAGGACUAGGGGUGUUAUCUCCUCGGAGAGCCCCGAACCUGGGUAAGAUUCACCGGCGUGCAUGUCUUCGCCUCAUCCCGUUUCCAGGCACCGGCGACGUUCUAUUGGCUCCCACAAUGAUAAGCCAUCCCUUGGCAUAUGUCGCACCAACCACCCGACAUUUGCAGUAGUCUAUGGAAGAAGAAAUUGAUGAAACUGUGAGCUUAUUGGAUGAAAAAGAUGAUGAGGAGAGCGAAGAACAAAAGGAGGAAGAGCGGAUUAGCUACACGUGCCCACCUUCUAAUGAGAGUAACUCUACAACUCAUACAUUGUUUAAUUUCCCUUCGUGCUUACCGAAGGAUGAUUGCUAUGAUGAUUGUUAUGAUCCCGUUGAUUCUCUUGAAAUAUCCCUUUUUGAUGAUGCUUGCUAUGCUUGUGGCCAAGAUGCCAAUAUGAAUUAUGCUUAUGGAGAUGAACUUGAUAUAGUUCCCUAUGUUAAACAUGAAAUUGUUGCUACGCUCCCCCCUCCGGCAGGGUGCCGGAACAGGUUCCCGAUUGGUUUUUGAUGGCUACAGAGGCUUGCGGCGGCGGAACUCCCGAUCUAGGUUAUUUUCUGGAGGUUUCUGUAUUUAUAGGAAUUUUUGGCGUAUGUCUCACGUCAGGAGGGGCUCCGAGUCGUCCACGAGAUAGGGGGACGCGCCCAGGGGGGUGGGCGCGCCCUCCACCCUCGUGGACGGCUCGGGACUCUUCUAGCCCAACUCUUUUACUCCGAGGGCUUCUUUUGGUCCAUAAAAAAUUAUCAAAAAUUGGCACGUCAAUUGGACUCCGUUUGGUAUUCCUUUUCUGUAAAACUCAAAAACAAGGGAAAAAACAGAAAACUGGCGCUGGGCUCUAGGUUAAUAGGUUAGUCCCAAAAAUCAUAUAAAAUAGCAUAUAAAUGCAUAUAAAACAUCUAAGAUGGGUAAUAUAAUAGCAUGGAACAAUCAAAAAUUAUAGAUACGUUGGAGACGUAUCAUCCAUUCUUAUCUUGUUUCUCUUCUGGCUCUUUCUUCCUAUUUUUCUUUGGCCUACCCAUUACUUUUGUGUAUAUAGGUGGGAAGACAGGGAUGCCAUGCAACUUUUCCCACUUCUUCAUGUCACUCAUAGGCAUCAGGUUCCAUCCAUAGCAAUCCUUGUAGUUUUCCACUGUAUAGCACUCAUGAACCAUGCUCUCUGGUUCAAUCCUCUCGUGCCUGAAACAUGCAAUAGCAUGAUGGCAAGGUAUGGCAGAUAGCUCCCAUCUCUUACAUUCACAUCUCUCUUCCAUCCAGAAUAUAACUGCGAAUCAAUACAAUUGGAUCAAUGAUUAUGUAGGCAGAAUAAAAAGAGGAAUACAUUUAGCAACAUAGUAGCAUGGAUUAUGUUGGCAGAAAGAGGAAUACAUCCACAUUUACCAAUAAAUAUGUGGAUUAUAAAAAAUGAAUGCAUCUACAAAAGAGGAUUUUGGAUCAAACCUGUUGAAAACUUCACUCAUGUUGUUUAGAAGGAUGUCACAUUUGCUGAAAGGGGAAAAAAUGCUUUGAUCCAUGUUUUAGGUGCCAACUUCUCCACCCACUGGUAUGCAGCAAGGCUAAGUUACUUCAUCUGCUCCAUGUUCUUACUAUAAGCAAUUUCAUGUGUAGAUCUUGCUAUUGCCCAUAAAUCAUUCUUGAGUUGUUCUCCCUUGUGUAUUUUAUGAAAGUUCUGGUAGAUGUGCCUAACACAGUUUCUGUGUUCAGCAUAAGGGAAAACUUUUUGCACUGCUGCUAUUAAACCCUAAAAAGAAAUGUCAUUUGGUGAGUAAGUAUUGUAAGCAGAUGAUUACCAUGCAAUAAAUUAAAGAGGUAGCAAGUGCUAACCUUUUGCUUGUCACUCAUUAUUGUAUAUGGUGAAGAGUUGCUUAUAUUCAAGUCAUCCUUCAAAGUGGCUAAGAACCACUCCCAACUAUAUGUUGACUCAACUUCACAUAGCCCAAAUGCUAUGGGGAAAUACAUUGGGAUCAACACCAACUGCUGUAAGUAAGUUCCCUUUGUGUCUAGUUUUUAUGUGGCACCCACCGAGAAAGAUGACUUGAAUAUAAGGUACCCUCUCUUACAUGCAUCAUAUGACCAGUACAGGGUUGAGAAGUGGUCUUUUGUUUCUUUAGUCCUAUCAUCAAAAACCUCCUUAGUGCACACGAAGAACUUGCUUCCUGGGUUAGUCCUCCUAAGCUCUUGGCCAUAGUCCCACAACAUAUUGUAUUGGUCAUCAUCUUCACCUCGAAUUUGUUUAACUGCUGCUCUUCUUGCCCUACCAGCUUACUUCUCUUUGCAACCAUGUUGAAUUCCUGCUCCACUUUAUCUGAAAACUUUCUCAAAGGCAUCUUCUCAUUGUCUCUGAAUUCUUCUCUGAAUUGUGCAGUCAGGAAUGGUGCAGUCAAAGCUUUCAGAUCCCAAGCCUUGGUGCAUGUGUGAUUGUCAAGGUAUUUCUUUAUCUGAAUUCUAGUACUCCUGUUAUCUCUGCCCGCCUUCAAGUACCAAGUACAUCCAGGCUUGCAUACUACCUCAAAUUUGGUGGUCGUAUUCCUUAUCUUCUCAACCUUUACUCUGUUUCUUACACUGUAUGCAACCACAACAAGCCUUAGCUCUUUCAUAUCACCAAAAAGCAUGCCAACUCUAAAAGUUGGUGCUUUAAGGUCACUGAAUGGAUUGAAUGUGCUGAAUUUGUAUCUAAGCUUGUCUCCUUCUUCUUUUGAUAGGUUCACAUGACUGUCAUCUAGGGCAUCUUCAGGAAGUUCUCCUUCAAAGUCAGGCACAAUCUCCUUCUGUCUAUGGUCAUCAACAUCUUUGUCUACAUUGCUCUCAAACAGAUCAUCAUCACCUUGUGCUACUUCGUAAUCACUCUCAUAGAAAUCCUCAUCAGUUUCAACUUCUGCAUCUACAUGUUCGUCACUACUGUCACCUGCAUCUUCAGCACUACUGUCAUCACUGUCACAAUUGCCAUCUUCUUCCUCAAAUUCUCGAUAUGGAACCCUUGAGCUACAGCCCUCACCAAAUGACAUGAAUCUCUUUGCUUUCUUGUAGUUACAUCUCAUCUCUGUUGCAAUUUCUGGUUUCUCAAAGUUGUCCACAUUUUCUUUUCCCUUUGCUGACUUAACUGGAGUAAUAACCCUUGGCAGCUCAGGCAUCCCCUCUACCAACACAUCAUCAUCAGUUACUGACUCCAGGGUGUCACCAUGGUCUACAAGCAAGACCAAGUUCUUGUGAUCCACUGUUGCAGCAAUCAUAAGGACAAUGUGUGCAUCACAUGCAAUCAACUGAAGGCCAUCACACAAAGACUUUCCAGGUUUGCUCCAAUACACAUCUAUCUUGGACACAGCACUGUCAUAGCCCAAUUGGAGAAGAAAAACAUCAAUCCAUAGAACUGACCAAGUAUCACUGUCGCAGCUAUCAAACCAGUCCACUUCUUGAUCCAUGUAGGUCAUGUUGCUAUCACUUCCACACAAAAAACCUUUGUGAUGUAUCUCAACUGAAAACAGUCCAUCAAAUUGCCCUGCAUUAUGAAAUAGCACAUACUUUCAGUUAAAUGCAUUGCACACAUUGAGAAAAAUUCAGUUAAAUGUACUGCAAACAUUCAGACAUAUUCAGUUAACAUACUGCGCAUAACUUCAGUUAAAUGCACUGCACACAUUUAGACAAAUUCAGUUAAAUGUACUGCACAAAUUCAGUUAACAGAGUUGACACAUUCAGAGUCCGCGCACAUUCAGUGAACACCAUUCAAAUUUACUACAUGAAUCACACUACAGCUCCAGUACUAAUCUGAAUCAAUUUAACUAGAGGAAUCAUAGCACUUCUAUACCCUGUUUCGAUGGCCACAUAACCAAGACCAUCCCCUUUCAGAGAAAAAGUGCGCUGACUGAUAACCCCCAAAUAAACCCUAGCCCUAUUUUGACGUGAAAAGGGCCCAAUGCCGUCCACAGCAAUCCGCAUCUUGUAAAUAACACGGAUAAGAUGAACAUCAACCACGAGAAAUCGAAGCCCAUUACAGUGGUUAACCCUACCCUGUGAUUACGUCGUACAGGCGCGAGAAAAUUGAGAAGGAGGAACAGAGCGACGAUAGGAACUGCCUCGCCAGGACGUCGACGACACGGGCCAUCCAUCGCCUCCGUCGCCGGCCGCCGUGCCGCGCCGCACCACCUCCGCCUUGGACUGAUCGAGACUGAGGGAGAGGAAAGGAAAGGGAUACGAAACGGUGGGGACUCUGAGCGAAGGAGCACGGGAUUAAGGGUACCAAAUAGAAAAACUAAACACGGUCCCUGUUCCCGCCGUUACAGGGGCUUUUUUGAGAGAAUUAAUUAAAGCCCAGGGGGUUUUCUGCUUAACAGCCAGGCUGUGCGCCUCACCCAGCCUCUAUGUCGCCCCGAGCCACUGACAUGUGGGCCAAUGACACGCUGGCGUGCCACGCGGGUGGUGCACACCGCGGAAUACGUCUGGAGGCACUGUAUUUGAACCACGGGACAAGUUGCGGCACCACUUUUGUGUAUUUUGCAAGUCUAGGCACUAAACUGACCGCACAGAACAAGUUUAGGCACUCAUAGUGUAUUUAACUCUUGUUUUAAAUAGUUUAUAUUCCCUGAUGAUCAGGGGGUAGAUAUCCAUAUCAGAUACCUGUUUCUGCUCCCUCUGUUCCUAAAUAUUUGUCUCUCUAAAGAUUUCAACAAGUGACUACAUACGAAGCAAAAUGAGUGAAUUUACAUUAUAAAAUAUGUCUAUAUACAUCCGUAUGUGAUAGUCCAUUUGAAAUCUCCUAAAAGACAAAUAUUUAGGAACGGAGGGAGUACGAAGCAUCCAUGCAUCCUACUCCUAGAUCACGCAUCAAAUUCAUAUGCAAUCGUAUCACUAAGCUUUCUACUCUCUUUUUUUGAGUGAAAGCUUUCUACUCUCUUUUUUUUUGAGGGAAAGCUUUCUACUCUCUUUUUUUUUGAGGGAAAGCUUUCUAUUCUCUUUUUUGAGGUACACUAAGAAUUCUACUUUAUUCAGGAGGUGACGAAGGAAUAAUUCCACUCAUGCUUGUUCACGCACAAAUACAAAAGGACAGCAGAAAGCACACCUAACCCCUGGAGACGCUCGAUUUUGACGAUGUGAUACAUGCUCAAAUUAUGAGUGGGAUACAGGUAUCAUUUGGCAUCGUUGGCUGUCAGAUCUGCCAUUGGAUGCUCCAGGUUUUUCACGAUUAGAACAAGAGGGUGGCAAGAAAUUGUUGGCCUCCGACGAUUUCUAACCAUCUGGGUGGCAAAAUAUGGGCGGUAGCAGGACAGUCGCGCAUCGAAUUCAUAUAGAUGACCAUUUAACAAUUUGGGCGGUUUUUCUGUGACCAACGAAUAAUUCCACUAAUGCUUGUUUUGACCCGCACCUAAUACUCAAGAGAAGCUCAGCAUUGACAAGUGUUAUAGAUGACCAUUUAACAAUUACAGACACAUUUUCUAGCUUAAGCAAAGUCAGGGCAGCUAAGGACAACUGUUCAACAAACAAAGAUCAUAAACAACCACAGAGGGGAUAGUAGAGCACAGCAGAGACUGAUUAAGAACAGAAGCCAAGUAUGAAAACGAGGAAUAUAAAAUUAGAGCAUCAAAACAAAGCAUGGCCGGCCUUCACAAAAUAAUAAAAAUAUAAGGAUGCAGAGCAACCUUCUAACCAUAAUGGCACGACAGGAACAGAAUUAUCGGUUUCACAUGCUCAAACAGCAGUCACUAACAUGGUUUCAUGGUUUUGUCACCAGGAUUCAAACAUUAAUAGUAGUUCAUUACAUAGCUUAUAGGAUAAAGAUCAGACUUGAUGAAGCACCACAGUUCGUUGAUAAUUUCCUAGCCCUUGCUUCCUUUGAGGUUUCCAUUCUUAACGGUACUGUUAAAUAAGAGUGCAGAUUCAGAGAUCAGUAUAAAGAGAUUUUGAUAUGCAAAAUAAAAGGCAUACAGGAAAUUAGUCGCACACAAACAUUCAGGUAUUCAGGCACAAUAGCAUAUGAAUCUGAAAAAUAAUUUACCCAAACCCAAAAAUUGAAGCAUAAAACCUACAGUUAAUCAGACAAAAGUGGAAAUGGAAACAACAUUUUUCAAUCAUCUCAAUUUUCUACUAAAUCAUAAAGUAGUUGUGUAAAUAUAUACCUACUUAAUAGAUAUUUGCACAAUUGCAAUACACUCAAUGUGUUAUGCAUUGAAAUGGGCCCGUAUGCUCAAAAAAUACUUGGCAGUUAAGGGUUAGUAAAUAGUUGAAACUGGGGACAGAUGCAACAGAGCAAGACUUAUAUUGGUGGGAGCAACAAACGGAGCUAGUAUCAUGUAGUCAUGCACAACUCUGUCAGUUCCAAGAUGCCUUAUGGUUAAUAGAAAUUGCACACUGAUCAAACAGAUACAAAACAUUGCAAGGCAAAACAUGAGGUGAUGAUUGCAAAACUUGACCAGGUUUACUCUGGCAAGAGGAGCAACACACACAUCUAUUUUGAAUAGAUGAAUCUAAGAUGUCACACAUUACACCACAGUAUGUACCAACAAAUGCCAAGAGAGGCUAAAACUGCUUGACCAUACCAAGAGAGGCCUUGUAGACAGAGCAUAUAUAUUAUUCAAAGCAAAGCAUGGUGACAUAUACUAGUAUUACUCGGCAGCCAUCAAAUUCAGGCACAGAUUCAGGAAAUCCACGGACAGUGUGGCGGCGCAUACCUUGAUGAAGCCGAUGUCCUUGGCGUUGCUGCGGAAGCACUGCCUGCAGCACAUCAGCCCGUACUUGCGGAUCAGGCCAUGCGAGUUGCCGCAGACACGGCUGCAAGAAAAGAUCCAAACCACCACGCGUCACGACAUAAAACCAUCAAACAAUCCAAGGCGCAUGAAUCAUGCACAUCGAACACGAGCAUAUAAGAUUUAGAGCUAAGCUACGAGAUUGCGCCACGGAUCUACAGGUGCGGACAUGGAACCGCCUCUUGCUACCGAUCUAGGAGAGGGCGGGGUACAAGUUCCCAAUCGAUCAAGAGUAGGGAGUAGAGAGAGGAUCAUUACCAAACCCUGGAUCCGGGGCCGUAGUUCUUGGGGUGCGAGUUCCAGACGUUCGAGUGUCCCAUGGCGGCGGCGGCGGGGCGGCUUGCAACUGGAAACCCUACCUUUUGCUCUCGCCUGGCUAGAAUGAGGAGGUCGGGUCGCGAGGGCGCCGGGUUUUCUAUAUAGCCUGGCAGGCUUCACUUGCUGGGCUCACUUGUACACUUGCGAAACUUUGCCGAUCGAUGGCCUUGCGGAUACAUGGGCUGGCCUCACAGCCCGUAUUUAAGCAACCACGGCCCGGUAACUGGGGUGAUCCAUUUUUUUGGCGUCUUUUGUUUUUCAAACUCCAAAUUUCGUAGUGUUCUUUUUAUUCGCAAGAAAAUUUCGUGGUGUUCUGUUCCCUCUUGGUGAACGACACCCACUGCAGACACGGCGUGUGAUUUUAACGCUGUCUUCGGGAAUCUCCGGUUUGCAACUGAAAAGAUACUACCAACAAAUACGGAGUACUAAUGAUGCUUAAAACUGUCAAAAAAGGGGGGAAUUUCUAGAGAUUGACAGAGCAGUCAGGAGUCUCUACACCGAGUUUUUAAAUCUAAGCCGAUACGACCGAUAUAGACUGAUAUAUCAGUUUUAGGGCUCUACGGAUAUAAAUAUAACAUAUUGGUUAGUAAAUAUCGUUUCCAGACAUAUUAUCCAACAUGAACCAAAAUAUCCCAUCCGCAUGUGUUAGUUUAUCCCGCCGCCUGAUGGUGCUUCUAUCACUUUCAUCAUCGUGACACAAACAACCGGUAUGAAGAACAUGCCUGCUCAUGUUUUUGUUUUGUUUUUGAAUAAAAGCACCCAAAAGAUAUCUUAGAUCUGGUUAAUAUUAAGAAAAACAAAGGCCAGUACAAAGAAUAGACAAGUGAACGUAGAACGACUUGUACAAAAUAAAAUUACACUAUUAAAAAGCAUACUAGUCUUUUUCUUUCUUUGAUUGUACACCGCCGGCCAGAGAUUAAGAAUUACACUGAACCAACAGCAAAGAAAAACGAAACCUGUGAAUGCCCUCGCCAUACCAGAUUUUGAAGACCGCAAUAGCCGCUCGCCACUUGAGACGAGAUUUAAAAAUCGUUGAACCAUUGUAUACUGGAGCAUCACCCCAUACAGAACAGGCUUGCAAUGCAUCACCAUCAGCACAGAGUGUUGGAGAAACUGGAUCAUGCCACAGAACAACACGAAAAAAGAUGUCGAAGUCGCCACACCAAUAGCCAGCCAUAAGGUCUCCUUGUUGGGGAACGUACUAAUUUCAAAAAAAAUCCUACACACACGCAAGAUCAUGGUGAUGCAUAGCAAGGAGAGGGGAGAGUGUCGUCUACGUACCCUCGUAGACCGUAAGCGGAAGCGUUACAACAACACGGUUGAUGUAGUCGUACGUCUUCACGAUCGACCGAUCCUCAGCACCGAACGUACGGCACCUCCGCGUUCAGCACACGUUCAGCUCGGUGACGUCCCGCGAACUCACAAUCCAGUAGAGCUUCCGGGAAGAGCUUCGCCAGCACGAGGCGUGGUGACGGUGAUGAUGAUGCUACCGACGCAGAGUUUCACCUAAGCACCACUACGAUAUUACCGAGGUGGAUUAUGGUUGAGGGUGGCACCGCACACGGCUAAGAGAUCAAUCAUCAAUUGUUGUGCCUUGGGGUGCCCCCCUGCCCCCGUAUAUAAAGGAGCUAGGGGGGAGGCGGCCGGCCAGGAGGAGGGCGCACCAAGGGGGGAGUCCUACUCCCACCGGGAGUAGGACUCCUCCUUUCCUAGUAGGAGUAGGAGAAGGGAAGGAAGGGAGAGAGGAAGAGAAAAAAAAAGAAGGGCGCCGCCCCCCUCCUUGUCCAAUUCAUACUAGAGGGGGAGGGGGGGCGCGGCUGCCAUGGCCGCCCCUCCUCUUCUCCCACUAGGGCCCAUUAGGCCCAAUAUACUCCCUCGGGGGUUCUGGUAACCCCUCGGUACUCCGGUACAUGCCUGAAACCUCCCGAAACACUUCCGGUGUCCGAACAUAGUCAUCCAAUAUAUUGAUCUUUACGUCUCGACCAUUUCGAGACUCCUCGUCAUGUCCGUGAUCAUAUCCGGGACUCCGAACUACCUUCGGUACAUCAAGACACAAAAACUCAUAAUACGGAUCGUCACAGAACUUUAAGCGUGCGGACCCUACGGGUUUGAGAACUAUGUAGACAUGACUGAGACACGUCUCUGGUCAAUAACCAAUAGCGGAACCUAGAUGCUCAUAUUGGUUCCUCCAUAUUCUACGAAGAUCUUUAUCGGUCAAACCGCAUAACAAUAUACGUUGUUCCCUUUGUCAUCGGUAUGUUACUUGCCCGAGAUUCGAUCGUCGGUAUCUCAAUACCUAGCUCAAUCUCGUUACCGGCAAGUCUCUUUACUCGUUCUAUAAUGCAUCAUCCCGCAACUAACUCAUUAGUUGCAUUGCUUGCAAGGCUUAUAGUGAUGCAUUACCGAGAGGGCCCAGAGAUACCUCUCCGACAAUGGGAGUGACAAAUCCUAAUCUUGAUCUAUGCCAACUCAACAAGUACCAUCAGAGACACCUGUAGAGCACCUUUAUAAUCACCCAGUUACGUUGUGACGUUUGGUAGCACACAAAGUGUUCCUCCGGUAUUCGGGAGUUGCAUAAUCUCAUAGUCAUAGGAACAUGUAUAAGUCAUGAAGAAAGCAAUAGCAAUAUACUAAACGAUCAAGUGCUAAGCUAACGGAAUGGGUCAAGUCAAUCACAUCAUUCUCUAAUGAUGUGAUCCCGUUAAUCAAAUGACAACUCAUGUCUAUGGCUAGGAAACUUAACCAUCUUUGAUUGAACGAGCUAGUCAAGUAGAGGCAUACUAGUGACACUCUGUUUGUCUAUGUAUUCACACAUGUACUAAGUUUCCGGUUAAUAAAAUUCUAGCAUGAAUAAUAAACAUUUAUCAUGAUAUAAGGAAAUAUAAAUAACAACUUUAUUAUUGCCUCUAGGGCAUAUUUCCUUCAGUCUCCCACUUGCACUAGAGUCAAUAAUCUAGUUCACAUCAUUAGAGUCAAUAAUCUAGUUCAUAUUUCUAUGUCUACAAUGCUCCGCACGGAGCUACUUUAGCUAAAUGCUCCCACUUUCAAUAUGUAUCCAGAUUGAGACAUAGAGUCAUCUGGAUCUGUGUCAAAACUUGCAUCGACGUAACCCUUUACGACGAACCUUUUGUCACCUCCAUAAUCGAGAAACAUAUCCUUAUUCCACUAAGGAUUAUUUUGACCGCUGUUAAGUGAUCUACUCCUAGAUCACUAUUGUACUCCCUUGCCAAACUCAGUGUAGGGUAUACAAUAGAUCUGGUACACAGCAUGGCAUACUUUAUAGAACUUAUGGCUGAGGCAUAGGGAAUGACUUUCAUUCUCUUUCUAUCUUCUGCCGUGGUCAGGCUUUGAGUCUUACUCAAUUUCACAUCUUGUAACACAGGCAAGAACUCUUUCUUUGACUGUUCCAUUUUGAACUACUUCAAAAUCUUGUCAAGGUAUGUACUCAUUGAAAAAACUUAUCAAACGUCUUUAUCUAUCUCCAUAGAUCUUGAUGCUCAAUAUGUAAGCAGCUUCACCGAGGUCUUUCUUUGAAAAACUCCUUUCAAAUACUCUUUUAUGCUUUCUAGAAAAUUUCUACAUUAUUUCCAAUCAACAAUAUGUCAUUCACAUUUAUUUAUCAGAAAUGUUGUAGUGCUCCCUCUCACUUUCCUGUAAAUACAGGCUUCACUGCAAGUCUGUAUAAAACUAUAUGCUUUGAUCAACUCAUCAAAGCGUAUAUUCCAACUCCGAGAUGCUUGCACCAGUCCAUAGAUGGAUCGCUGGAGCUUGCACAUUUUGUUAGCACCUUUAGGAUCGACAAAACCUUCUGGUUGUAUCAUAUACAACUCUUCUUCCAGAAAUCCAUUCCGGAAUGCAGUUUUGACAUCCAUUUGCCAAAUUUCAUAAUCACAAAAUGCGGCAAUUGCUAACAUGAUUCGGACAGACUUAAGCAUCGCUACGGGUGAGAAAGUCUCAUCGUAGUCAACCCCUUGAACUUGUCGAAAACCUUUCGCAACAAGUCGAGCUUUGUAGACAGUAACAUUACCGUCAGCGUCAGUCUUCUUCUUGAAGAUCCAUUUAUUUUCUAUGGCUUGCCGAUCAUCGGGCAAGUCAACCAAAGUCCACACUUUGUUCUCAUACAUGGAUCCCAUCUCAGAUUUCAUGGCCUCAAGCCAUUUUGCGGAAUCUGGGCUCAUCAUCGCUUCCUCAUAGUUCGUAGGUUCAUCAUGAUCAAGUAACUUGACCUCCAGAACAGGAUUACCGUACCACUCUGGUACGGAUCUCACUCUGGUUGACCUACGAGGUUUGGUAGUAACUUGAUCUGAAGUUACAUGAUCAUCAUCAUUAGCUUCCUCACUAAUUGGUGUAGGAGUCACAGGAACAGAUUUCUGUGAUGAACUACUUUCCAAUAAGGGAGCAGGUACAUUAUACGUAUCCGUCGUAUCUACUUUUCCAAAGACUUUUGCCCUUGUUUUGGACUCUAACUUGCAUGAUUUGAAUGGAACUAACCCAAACUGACGUUGUUUUCAGCAGAAUUGCCAUGGUGUUAUUUAUGUGCAGAAACAAAAGUUCUCGGAAUGACCUGAAACUCCACGGAACUUAUUUUUGGAAAAUAAUAAAAAUAUUGGCGAAAGAAUCAAGGCCAGGGGGCCCACCACCUGUCCACGAGGGUGGGGGCACGCCUGCCCCCCCUGGGCGCACCCCCUGCCUCGUGGGCCCCCUGUUGCUCCACCGACCUCAACUCCAACUCCAUAUAUUCGUGUUCGGGGAGAAAAAAAUCAGAGAGAAAGAUUCA